Molecule: long non-coding RNA, 275 nt
Filed under: Gallus gallus (chicken)
Lineage: Eukaryota; Metazoa; Chordata; Aves; Galliformes; Phasianidae
Description: long non-coding RNA NONGGAT008869
Source: RNAcentral
CAGUGAAGUACAUGCUGCACUGUAAUGUGUCUCCUGUUAUAGAACUGUCCUUCCCAAAGAGUACUCUGCCAUUGCAGUGAACUGGACUGAACAUCCUGAGAGAAACCUAGCAAGACUUUCUGCUGUGGAACACAGGAUUGAUACAUGCAACACUCAUCCCUCUCCUGCUACUCGAGGAAAUCCAAGGAUGUUAUCACGUUGCACAUCAUAUCCAUCCUUGGAUCUAUUCAAGAUGUGAGCAAUUUGGUCUGCUCCCAUUGCUGACCAACUUUCAG